GGCCAUAGCUCAGCGGUAGAGCAUCUGCUUUGUGUGCAGAAGGUCCCAGGUCCAAUUCUCAGCAUCUCCAGGUAGGGCUG
Molecule: transfer RNA, 80 nt
Filed under: Podarcis lilfordi (Lilford's wall lizard)
Lineage: Eukaryota; Metazoa; Chordata; Lepidosauria; Squamata; Lacertidae
Description: tRNA.Thr
Source: RNAcentral